Molecule: ribosomal RNA, 467 nt
Filed under: uncultured bacterium
Lineage: Bacteria
Description: partial 16S ribosomal RNA
Rfam family: Bacterial small subunit ribosomal RNA
Source: RNAcentral
ACGAACGCUGGCGGCGUGCUCAACACAUGCAAGUCGAACGGAAAGGCCCUGCUUUUGUGGGGUGCUCGAGUGGCGAACGGGUGAUUAACACGUGAGUAACCUGCCCCUGACUUUGGGAUAACUUCAGGUAACUGGGGCUAAUACCGGAUAGGAACUCCUGCUGCAUGGUGGGGGAUGGAAAGUUUCGGCGGUUGGGGAUGGAAUCGCGGCUUAUCAGCUUGUUGGUGGGGUAGUGGCUUACCAAGGCUUUGAAGGGUAGCCGGCCUGAGAGGGUGACCGGCCACAUUGGGACUGAGAUGCGGCCCAGACUGCAACGGGAGGCAGCGGUGGGGAAUAUUGCACAAUGGGCGGAAGCCUGAUGCAGCAACGCCGCGUGCGGGAUGACGGCCUUCGGGUUGUAAACCGCUUUCGCCUGUGACGAAGCGUGAGUGACGGUAAUGGGUAAAGAAGCACCGGCUAACUACGUG